AGAUAUUCUAAAGAUCUUCAAUACUUAGGCUUCGUUUGAGAUUGCCGAAAAACUGAGAUACGUGCGGUGGAAAAAUACUAUGAAAAAAUAUUAUGUCUUUUUUCGUACGUAAUAUUGUGUUUCGCAUAUCGAUAAGUCGGUUAUGAUAUAUUUUCUGCAAUGCCAUCAGAGAGAAUGCCAUCAGAGAGCGUAGAGAUAUAUUCUAUUUUAUCUAACAGCUUCAGAUAAACCUCAAUACCAAACUAAGCCUUAUAAUAUUUUCAGCUGUUGCAGAUCACAUUGAACUAAUUUGCUAUUAAGUUAUGUUAGAUGUUGGAUAGUUGUUGGGCUAUAAUAUUAUCAUUUUAUAUAUAUUUGGGUCUCUGUUCUCUGCGUUUAUUAUAACACAUAAUUGAAGUGUUAAAAUCAUGUUACCAGUGUAGUUACAUUCUUUUGUGCAUUUUUGUGGUACAGCCUUGCUGCUCUCUGCUGCUGCUGCCUCAUCGACGAGUGCUGCUGCGAUCCGUCGGUCAUAUUCGUUAGCUGAGCACUUCCUAUAUCUACAGAUUUUCUUUUUUUUCCUCUUUUUUUUUUUUUUUUUUUUUUGGGUCUUGAAGUAUAUGUAGUUCUUCUUUGUGGUUUAUGCUUAUUGAUUAUGGAAACAAUGGAGUUUGAUCUUUGUGUAUUUACUGAAUCAUAACUUUAUCAAAUAAUUAAUUUUUUUUUCCCAAUUUGCGUUUCUGUGUGAUGAUCAUCACUAGGUUAUGUUUUCUGCUGUAAUUUAUUGAAUUCCUUAAGAUGAUGCAGUUGCCUUCUAUGUUCGGUGCAAUUCUUUAAUUAUUAUAUGCAAAAAUUAGGAAGUAGAAAGAAGCAGCGAGAGUAUUUAGAAUUAGGAAGUAGAAAGAAGCAGCGAGAGUAUUUAGGACCUGUUUGGAUGCUGAACCUGAUUCAAAGCCCAUUCUAUUAUUAUUGGAUACGUUGCGAGAAAAGAGUCGCUUAGGACAACAAUUUAGAUUACUCAUCACAUAAAGAAGCCUGAUGUGGCAUUGACUCUUUCAAGUGCCAUAUAUGUGUGUAUUUAUGUAUGUAUGGACUCAUGCAUAUACACGUGUGACAAGAACUCAUAUUCUAUAACAAGCGUAUUGAACGGCCCUGUAUCAACUCACUUGGAAUGCAUAACUUCAAUAUACAUAAAAGCUCCAAGUGUUUUCUAAAGUAUACUUCAAUCCAAGUUAAAACUAGCAUAGAGUUUUUGUUAUACGAGAAAGUUUAUUAUGUCACACCUACAUUACAUCAUCAAUAAACAGCCAAUCAUAUCUCUCUUUUUUUAAAAAAAAUCAAUCCAAGAGAAUAAUUUGAUUGAUAUCACAUCAUCAAUAAGCAGCCAAUCAUAUCUCUUUUUUUUAAAAAAAAUCAAUCCAAGAGAAUAAUUUGAUUGAUCGAGAACGUCACAUCAUUAAUAUAAUUGAUGCAUUCUAUACAAGAAGCCAAUCCCAUCUCUACUUGCAACCCAAAAAAGCACAAUUUCUAUAUGGCAGGUUACUGAAUACUUGGGCGAGGUAUAGGCAACUACAUAUUCUUGAUAAAAUACAUCACAGCUCUGUCGCGCCAUAUCCAUAUUCAAGAGCCGAGCAGCACGAUAGAUAUUCAAGAACAAAAAAACUAAUGCAAGAAACAAUCCAUUGUGGGCUUUUCAAUAAUAUACAUGACAUGAUAUACUGUUAAUACUUGAUUGAUCUUUACACAGCAUCCCAUAUUGUGACAUUCAAUGGUGUCUAUUUUGGAGGCGGAGUAAGCUUAUUUUGCUCAUUCUCAUGCUUUGAUGUCGAAUCCCCAGCCAUAAGUUCAUGGAAAGCUUCGACUUUCACUGGUGUCAUUCUCAUACUAUAUGGAUUCCUGCAUAAAUUAGAAAAGGCAAAAUGUAAGACGUUCAAACAUUAGAAGCAAAGUGCUGUUCCAUUGUCUCAGCUGUUUGCUUUUGUCCUCGAGUUCUUUGGGGUUAAAAGCACUCAGCAAUGACCGGCCUUAAUAUUGCUAUUGGGGUCGAAAAGAAAAGGAAAAAAAAAGAAUUUGCAAAUCAAUCAACAAAACCAAGAAUUAAAGAAGCCUAUCCUAAGUGCCUUCAACCACACAAAACUUCAGCAAAACCAGAUUAAAAAACGUAAAGAAUGCCAAAUGGGCCCAAAAGUAACUGAUUUAAGCAUAGAACUAACAAAAUUUAGAAUCAUACUGUGCUUGCAGUUGAGGAAGUUGAACAGGUGGAAGUUGAUUGAACUGCUGAGCCGAUUGAGCUUGGUGAUUGGCCAUAGCCAGCUGCUGCUGCUGCUGCCUUAGUAGCUGAUGCUUCUUGAGAGCACUAAAAGAAUUAUCGAUUGGCGCAUCCAUCAUAUUCUCAAUCUUAACAUCCAACAUCUGUUGACCUUUGUCCAUUAGCAUAACGGGACCACGAGGGCUUGCCAAUUGGCGGCGGCGCAGCUCCUCCCAUUGGUGCGGUUGCAGCUGAUGCUGUUGCUGGAAUGCCAGGGUUUGACCCAUAUUCAUCUGGGGCAGCGGUCUUUGAAAUUGUUUGUUUGCAUACUGCAAAAAGUUUAGUUUAGCAUGUCAGUAUGCAAGAUAUGAUGAAGAAAAGUGAUCAUUUGGGGACCCAUAUGUUUCUGAGGUUUGCUCAAAGGAAAUUGAUCCAAUUGAAAAAAUAAAUGCAUUAAGAAUGUUUAGACGAGUGACAAAGUAAUCUAUCAUUUUUGCAGUCCACAAUCGGAAAAAGAAAGCCGCCCUUCGUAGACGGUCAAUGAUUAACGUCAGCAACACACUCGAAAGAUCAAGCUGGUAAAUAGUAGUCCUUAUAUAAGAAUGUCAGCGCCAAAGAUGGUGUAACAUAUGUAAGACCAAUAAUGCUGAUUAGCCCCCCCUUUCCUAAAUGUUUUAAGACAGUAUGUGUACUGUUAAAUUGGAACUUUAACAAUUAUCUGAAAAAUUAAAUUAUGACAUAGACAAAUUAUGCAAGUUGCUGUUCAAUAAUGCCAAAAGUCUCAGCUUGGAAGACCGACUUAGAAAGGAAUCAGUUGGACAUAACUAAGAAAUUUCAAAAGGAGUGAAGUGUAAUGACACCCGACUGCUUUCUUAUCAAAAAACCGUUAUAAUAACCGACCGUCCCUAGAGCAAGUGGCAAAGGGCUUGGUGGUUGGUACCCGAGGCCCAAGUUCGAAUCCUAGUUGAUUCACAUUUCCAGCUAAGUUUAUUUCUAAAUGAAAUAAACGAAACGGAUAGUGUGCUACUUAUCUCUCAAAAAAAAAAAAAAACCGUUAUAAUAUAUUAUUUUCCAUAUCAAGUUCAAUCUCACUCACUCUCAACAUCUGCCACCAAUUUCGCAAAACAUUCAUACACUAGUACAAGCUCGAGUCUCUGACAAUCAACAUGCAAUCAACAAAAGAUGGUUCACGAAGUUAUUCUCCUGUAGAAAAAUCAACAUGCCUUUGGUGCCUUGGCAGUUAGGGGUUUAGAUUUCCAUAUCACGCAAAAUAUCUGGACCAGUAGACUUAGAUGAAAUUCUUCAAAUAAGGCAUGGGUGACAGGUUGAAGUAAAACUAUCCGAGUAUACAUCCACAUGCCAUGUACUUACCUAUACUCUUAGCGUUUAGAUAGGGGAUAGGGAUAGGGAUAACCCCUUAUCCCCCUUUAUACCCAAACGCUAAUUUUUUACCCGAGAACAGUAGUUCUCGGUUACCUAUAAUAACCGGGUAUAACUAUUCCCACCAACACCUCCAUUUUCUAUAUAAAACUACCCACUAUUUUUCUUAUUCCAUAUUAUCUAUCCAAACGCUAUUUUUUUUUAUCCCCGGGAACAACUCAAUUUUCAUCCAAACGCUAUUUUUCUUAUCCCCAUACUUGUACCUAUCCCUGUAAUAGCUAGUUCUUGCUUAUACCCGAACCACACGCUAACAAACUGUUUAACAUCAUGUAUAUUUUCCACCCUUUUACUAGGUGUCCAAUUGUUAGUUCUAUACAUUGCUACAGUGUAGCAAUGUAUCUCCUAUUGUAGAAUUUAUAUAUGUUUGAAAAGGAGACAUGGACAUAACCACUAUUCUAUUCCUUCAGAAUCCGUAUUACAAAAAUAUAAUUUCCAACCAUAGAUUGUUCAUACAAUAUACACAUCAGUAUCCAAAUUUGGAGGAGAAAUAUGAUAUACAUAUGGUUUAAUUUAACAAUAUCCGAUUUGUUGUCACCCGUAGAUGCAUAUGCAAUAUGAGUUACAGAUGUAAACUGGCAAAAAUAGUACAGCAUGGUACGUGUGAUAGGUGGGUGCACAUGCAAUUCACAUAGAAUAAAUACAAAUACAGUGUAAAAAAUAAAAAAUAAAAAAUGCGGACAGAGAGGACGUACAUGGAAUAAUCAACAAGAAUAAGAGAAAUACGAGGUUUAUGACCUACUUAUAAAUUUAUUAUGGGAUAUUGUGACAUUACGCAUGGCAAAUUUUAAGUGAUUUAUUUUAACAAAAAACUAUGGAAUACAGAAUGAAUUACUGAUAAAAAACAAAUCAACAAGAGCUAAUUAUGUGCAUAUCAUCUUACUAGACUUAUAAGCAUCUAAAUGCAAGAUAGUGCAUGACUAAUGACUAGUGCCCAAUAUGUGACGUUCACACCAUAUGCAGUCUUUGUCACGCAGUUAAGUGAUUGCAUUAGUGUGGGUGCAUGCACUGCUUUUCAGAACAGUGCUAGUUACCUCAAGUGGUCUAGAAAUCACCGAAUUACAACAAAUGUAUAACAAGGAGAUUUUGCAUACUUGUUGAACCUGCAGAAGAGGGUUCUGAUGUUGCGACUGCAUUGGAUGAUUUUGUUGCUGCAUUUGGUGAGUGAAGACCUGGUUGCUACCUUUUGUAAAUUCUGCCAACACCCCAAAGGUGCUACCAAAUUAAAGAAAGGUAUCAUUAAUAGUUCAGCUUUAAAGAUGUGCAUCCAUAAGCUAACAAAUAUUGGGAUUCUAUACUUCACAGAGUGUGAUUUUAUGCAAUUAAAAUAAUUUAUGGAUAUAAACAUGUUAUUAUUGUUAAACAGUUCUCCUUGCAUGAUCUAAGCACCUGGAAGUACAAAACCAGCUCAUUUUAUGUCCUUAAAAAUCAAAACAACCUGUUGAAUAGCCUUGAAUGCUGCGGCGGUUUAAAACGUGCAGCAUCAUCUAAAUCAAAUGGCACAGAUAUGUUGUCCUGCUCGGAACUACUUAGGGGUUUCCAGAGCUCUUAUAUCAGCCACCACAAUAACAUAUGCCGAAUCAGAAGAGAAGCAUGAAUGAGAAGGGAAGAAGACACCAACUAUUGCCAGUUUGGUUUGAAGAAGAAUUGACAGGUUGCAAACUAAGGGUUAAAAGAACAACACAAUUUUUUUGGAAAUAUGUCGUUGUGAACUAUCGUGAUAUAAUUGGAAAUAAUCAAUGAAUGGGAGAGGAGGCUAUUUGAGGAUUGCUUUUGCCCCCCUCCUGACCAAAAACCAGUAAGUAACAAAACGUUGAGAAUCACUCAAUUGACAAAGAUUUAUGAUUUAAUGCAGAGCCAGAUCUAUGCCGUAAACUGAGCUUUCGAAGAAUAGGAAAAAUAGAAAAUAACCUCCAGAGUACAAAGAGUAAAAGAUAAAAGUUUACAAAUAAUAUAUCAAAUUGAUAAUUGUCUAGAGGGAAAAUGAGAUAAUGUUUUUAAUUUGAUAUGCAUAACGAGCUUUUUCAUCGAUCAUCAAGGACUUUCUUCUUGCUAUCUAUCAAAUUUUCUUACAACACCUCAUUGCAACAUGCUUUUAGAUCUCACUACACUGUGCCCAUGUAUUGUCAAAAGAAAAAUGAGAGAAUGCGCUUGGAAUUGUUCGAAAACAAACCACAUCAUGUGGACAUCAACCAGAAGAGUAAUCAGCUCACCUAUAUCCUGCUGCUUGCAGAAACAUCUUUAGAAGCUCAAUGGACGUAAACUGCUUCUUGUAACCAUCGGACAAAAGCUUCAGAGUGCGGCCUAGUUUGGAAAUAUGCCUACCAAAAACUUCCGAGAGAACUUCAAGUGAAACUUCAUUUCCGCCUUCGAAACCAGCAGUUGCUAAGAAACGAGCAACUACCUUCAGAGUCAUCUGCAAUGCUUGCUCACGACUGAGAGAUCUCCCUUCCUCUCCAGAUCCAUAUUUUCCCCUAUAUUUUCUUCCCAUUUUCUGGUAUUCAGGAAUUAUCCCAAAUCUUUCGAUCAUUGCUGGGCUCCGGGUCAUUAAUGGGGGCAAAUUUUCAAGAACCCCGUAGAUUUCAACCUUUUGAUUAUCAACCCUAUUUACUUGUGGUAGUGCAGUAUCGGGUACACAAUCAGAUGGAAACAUUAUCUCUGGAAAGAAAACCUCAUCGGCCGAGUUAGAUUCCAAGGUGGAAUCAGUGGUACCUAUAAACUGACUUUCGUUAAAUGCUUGUCUCUUCCUUUUAUGGGUGUUACAGAGCUUAAGAUAAAUAGACAUUCCAUCAGGUGUUCGCCUCGGUAUCUCUUUGUCGCCCAGCAGAAGUCUGUGAUGUCUUAUUCUGUGUUUGUCAGCAAACUGUUUAUACCAUGUUUCAGGCCACUCUUCGUGCCUGUGCCUAGAUUGUGCCUGCAUCAUGCAAAAGAGAAUCAGCUUAAGUUUGUUGAGAAACUCUUUUUGACAACUAGAAGGCAUAGGAUCUUUCUGGAUAGUUCAGCAAGGUUACCUCUUAAUUUUGUGCAAGCAUGCUAUAUCUUGUCAAAUCAAUCAUUUUAACUGCAUUAAGCAGUUCUUCGCAAAUAAGUGACUAGUUAUUAGUAGCUUUAGUUUGGUACAUCUAGCAUGGGACAGUUCUUCGCAGUUCAAAACGACACAGGAAAUCAAGUUGAAUAGAUCUUUUCAUCCACAUCGCAGAUGUUUGUGCGAAUUGUUUUGAUCAAUAGAAAAAAAAAAAAAAAAAAAAAAAAAAAAGGAUCCACCGUGGGCCGUAACAACCAUCCAAUCGAAGAUGCGGUUAUAUUUUGUUCGUGGAAGACCAGUGAAAUAAAAAGAAAAAAAAAUGAUAAAACACAGAUUUUUCCCCUAGUAGAACAAUUUUCUGGUUAAUUUUAAAGAUCAUAACUUACCUGNGGGACAGUUCUUCGCAGUUCAAAACGACACAGGAAAUCAAGUUGAAUAGAUCUUUUCAUCCACAUCGCAGAUGUUUGUGCGAAUUGUUUUGAUCAAUAAAAAAAAAAAAAAAAAAAAAAAGAAAAAAGAACCCUCACUCUAUAUUGAAACCUGUCACUAAGAAGAUAAUCUUAUAUUUUGAGCUUUGAGCACCAGUGAAAUAAAAAGAAAAAAAAAUGAUAAAACACAGAUUUUUCCCCUAGUAGAACAAUUUUCUGGUUAAUUUUAAAGAUCAUAACUUACCUGAAUAUGAGCAUCAUCUUCUCGGUCAUCUUCUAACGUGAAAUAAACAUCAUCCCCAUGAAGCUGCAAAUCUGUAAAAAACAAAAAGCUAAUCGAAUCACACCAUAAAUCACCCAAAAAAAAAAAAGAAGGAUUUCCUAGGAACAAGGAAAUGAUCGGUCUACAUAUCAAAUCAAACUAUAUUUCUCAACAAUCAUACUUUUUACGCUUAACGACGAUUCAAUCCCACCAUUCUAACCCUAAUUCUAAGCAACUACCCCUAAACUCCACCCAUUCAAGUAACAAUAUAGACGCGAUGAACUCACAUUUUCAGGGUUUAUAUCGGCGAGCGAUCAAACUACAAAUCAAAUCAAACUGCAAUUUUUUUGACAGAUCACACUCUCUACACUAAAACAACCACGAAAUGAUACAAUCCCACCGUUCCAAAACCGUAAUUCUCAGCGAUCCCAAAGCUCCACAGGAUAAACUCACAGUUAGGGUUGAUGUUGGCGAGGGAGGUGGACGACGCGGAGGCGGGGGGGAGGAAGAGGGAGAGGGAGGCCUUGUCGAAGAGGAGGGCGCGGGCGCGGAGUUGGAGGUGGAGGCGGGCGCGCGAGGAGGGCGAGGGGGAGGGGGAGGAGAUGGGGGAGAGGAACGACUCCCACGUGGCGGCGGAGGAGAGGGCGUGGGCGAAGACGGCGUACGCGGCGUCGCCCAACCAGGCGCGCCACGCGCCGCAUGCGUCCAGCCUCCGCGCCAGCUCGUAGCCGCGCCCGUCCUCCCCCAAGAGCAGGUGCGGCGCCGCCGCCGCAGCCGACGACGACGACGACGACAUCUCCGGCGCCGCCACCAGCGCCGCCGCCGCCGCUGCCGCCGUAGUGAGGUGGAUCGUCGGAGGAGAGAGGAGACGGUGCUUGGAGAUAAACUCUUCGUCUCUCUUCGUCUCUCUCUCUCUCUCUCGGAAGUAAAUGUCUGGAUAGUCCCUCUACUAUUAUAUUUAAUUUUUGGGUUUUUAUUUUUGUAAUUAGCCGCCUGAAAAAAAUUUAUUUUAAAAAUAGCCUCAGCAAAUUUAAAUUUACAAAAAUAGUCCUGAUCUUGCCACUCAGGCAUCACAUCAGCGCCACGUGGACGGAUUGGGUUGGGGUGUUAAGUUGAAUACGGUGAACCAUUCACCGUGUUCAAACACGGUGAAUGAUUCACCGUGUUCCAUAUUUAUCUUUUUAAUAAUAUGUAUUUUUUUUUCCUUUUCUUUCUCCAGACACGGUGAAGCAUUCACCGUAUUUAAACACGGUGAAUGGUUCACGGUAUUUAACUUAACUAUCUGGCAUAGCCCGGCCCGCAUGGCGCUGACGUGGCGCCUACGUGGUAGGGUCAAGGUCAUUUUUGUAAAUUUAAAUUUGCUGAGAUUAUUUUUAAAAUAAAUUUUUUUCAGAGAGCUAAUUGCAGAAAAAGUUCUUAUUUUUUUAUUUUUUUAUAGAAAUUUUCAUACUAAUACAUAAAAAAUAAAAGAGUUAGAAUAAUUAAUUUUUUACUUAUUUUUAGGAAUUUUUUUUUUCUCUUUCGAUUGACUUCAACGUAGGGCAAAGUUAAUUGCACAUUUUAAAAAAAUAGAGUUACAUACGAAUUUAAUUUAAGCAGACCACCUAAUAGAAGUAGGCAUUUAAGGGCGAAAAAAAUAUUUUUACCCCUUCAACUUUCGGUAAAACAAAUAAUUAUUUUUAAUUAUUUUUUUUGAAAUUUUUUUUUUUUCUCAUUUGUAUUUGCACUAUGUGGAACAAAGUCAAUUACGGCAUUUUAAAAAAAGUAGAGUUACAGCCGAAUUUAAUUUUAUGCGAACUAAAUAAUAAAAAUAAGUAUUUACGGGUGAAAAAUAACUUUGCCCCUAAAACUUUCAGUAAAAUAAAUAUGUCCUAGCGAAGAUGGAUUACUCAAAAAACAAAAAAGAAAUCAUGCAUUUUCUACAUGCCCUGCUGCACAUGAACUAUUUUCUUACUCUUGUGCGACACGAUGAAUUGGGGUCAUCUAGUAUGGAUGAUUAAAAUUUAUCUCGUCGCUGAUUAGUGGUGGGAUAUUUUCAUGAGCAGAAAAAAUUCUACAUACAAAAUAGAAGAGAAAUUGUUCUCAAUGUACAGUUUUAUUUAUCAAUUAAGUAUUUUAGGUUCUUAAAUUCUAUAUAGAUAUUAAGCUUAAGAAACAAAUUUUGUGAUUUUAAAAAAUUACUUCUCUAGUGAUCGAAAAACCAUCAGUUGUAAGUUUGACAACCUACAUACAUAAGAUGUCUGCUUCAUUUACUGGCGUAUAACAUUUCAAAUAAGUUGAAUUUUUAUCAGAAUUAUUUUUUUACUAUUUAGAUAGCAUUUAGCACCUUGAUCAAAAAUUGGCGAAAUCUAACGUCUUAUUUCAAAAGAAUAUUUUGAUUUUGACAAUCUGUUAGUACCCGCUUUCCGAAAUAAACAAACUUUAAAAAAAUCACAAAAUUGGCUAGCAAUAUUUUUUUAAAAAAGUACGAAACUAAACUAAAUUAUAGAUCACUUUAAAUUGAGUAUCUAAUCUUUCAAAAUUUUGAUUUUACUAAAUCUUUCAUUAUGAUUGAUUUGAGUUAAUCAAACGGUACGUUGACUUCAAAAUUAAAUAGCUCGUUUCUUUUUACAAGUUUAGCUAAUAUACUCUACACAAUUCAAGUAAUUAUAAAUUUAUUAAAAUAAGAAAUUACUUGAAAGUUUAAAAUGAAAGCACCGUUGACUGAUGCAAAUCAAUCAAAUUUCAAAUUUUGAAAGGCCAGAUAAUGAAUUCAAAAUGGUAUAUAGUUCAGAUAAAUUAUGUAUGUUAUAAUCUUAAAGAAUAGUAACUUGAAUCAAAUUUGGACAAACUUAGAACGCGUGAGAAUUUUGAAUCGAAUAUUUAAGAGUAGCAGUACAGAAAUAAAAUCGUAAUAUCCAAAUAGUCCAAGGACUAUCCUUACAUUUAUCCUGUCCAAUAAUUAAAACGGCUACAUAAUCUCAAUUGUGGAAACAAAAAUAAUUUUUCAUCCUCUACACCUUUCAUAGCACCAGCCUAUCUAAACCGGGAAAACCAAAAAGAAAGAAAACAAUCCCACUCUUUCCUUUCAUUCCCACCAACAUAAUUUAAUUCAAAAUUUUUUUUACACUAGCCGUUAGUGCAUUCCUUCUUUGCCCUAAUCCCCACCAUACAUACUCCACACUAUAUGUAAAAUAAAGGGGAAAAUCACAAAGAUCAAAGAUCUUCUACCACUAAAGAUUCUCUAAAAUCUUUCUUAGAUUCAUCUCUUAGCUUCUCCAAAUCUUUGUAGGAUUUUAUUUAGCCAAGUAUAUAGGUAUGUCUAUUUCCAACUCCAAUAAUAAUCUCGCUUUAAAUGAGUUUAAUCCGAGGAGGUGCGCUGCAUGCAAAUAUCUAAGAAGGCGGUGCUCCGAAGACUGCGUUCUCGCUCCGUACUUCCCCCCGUCCCUCCCUGAAAGAUUCACCUGCGUCCAUAGGAUCUUUGGCGCCAGCAAUGUCGCAAGAAUGCUCCAAGUACGUAGAUAGAUACAUGCAUAAAUAUACAUAUUUAUAUUAACAUAAAUACAUGCAUGCAAAAUAACUUGCCUUGAGAAUUUGAUUUAUUGCUAGUAGUGCAAAGUAUACGUACAUGCUAUGUUGAACAUGUUAAUGGUCUCAUUAUUAACAGUUAAUUAGUAUCGGAACAGCUUCUUGAGUAAAAGUGACUAGAAAGCUAAACAGAGUUCUUUAAACAGCUCUGUUUAAAUAGUGCAUACAUAAUUUCUCCCGUUCGGAUUUAACAUGCUGUUACUCGUUACGCUCACAUACUUUUUGUUUGUUGACAGCAAUUGCCAGCUCACCAGCGAGCUCAAGCGGCCGACACCCUCUCGUUGGAGGCCUAUUGGCGGGUGCGCGACCCGGUCUACGGGAGCGUCGGGAUCAUCAACCUUCUGCAGCAGGAGAUCUACGGGAACCAACACGAGCUCGCGAGAACCCAAGCCCAGAUUGCAAUGUACAGAGCUCAACACGACCACCACCACCACCACCACCACCAACAGCAACAGCAACAACAACAAGAACAGCGGGAGACCGCCGACGGAGCCCACGAGCCCGUCGAGCCCACCCCAUUUCUUGGGCCCCCACAGCAGGAUAAUUGUGCCCUAGAGAGAACAUUUCUUGAAUCCAACCAUUUUCCAGAUUUUUUCUGAAAAAAUAAAAUUUGCCACAACCUAAAUCAAUAAGUCCAAGGGAAAGGGAAGGAAAAGGGAUUGUUAAAUUCUUUUUAAUUCGUUGCAAUAAUAAGUCAAUAAAGAGGAAGGAUUUAUUCCGUAGUUUUUUGCUUCCGCUUCUUCUUCUUAUAAAAUAUCAAUAGAACAGCUAAUUGAAACAGAUUUCACUUACAUUUUAGAGAAAAAAAAAAAAGAAAGAAAGAAACUGAUUCAUUUCAUAUAGCUCUGUUUAAACCAAUUUUUUAUUGUCCAUGACCACAUUAGAGAUACAAUCUUUCGCGCAAUUUAGUAUAAGAGUAAACAAUAUCUAUCUAAAAAGAGGAGAACGUGCUAAAUCCGUCUAAACUUUUGCACAAUUUGAGAUCAUCAUUUAAAUUUUGAAGAUACCAGAAAAUCACCUGAACUAUCUUUUUAUAUAUAUAUAUAUAUAUAUAAAACUCCUUUGAAGGUUUUUUUUUUUUUAUAAAUACGAAGCUAUCGUGAUAUUUUAUUUCAGUUUAUUAUAUACUUUGAAGGUGGGUAAUUGUAUGCUCGUUUCAAAUUACACAAGGUCCUGAUGAAUCUGAAGCUUUUUUUCCUCUCUCAAAAAAAAAAGAAAAAAGAAGAAGCCAUUCUCAUUGCUUGGUUUGAACUUUAUUCGAGAAGUAACGAAAAAUUGUACACUAUAAUCCAUCACAUUACACAAUAUUGUUACAACAACAAGAGCAAGAGCAGUUUUUUAAAAGUGUUUCAUAACUUGGCAUAUUUCUUAAGAGCAUCCCCUGCAUUUUUGGAGUUCUCCGGCACCGGAAGAUCGGAGAUAAGGGUGACCCUGGAGGAUGAUAUGAGAACUCCCUUCUCCAUGGUGGAAGGGUCCAUCUUCCACAAUCUCACCUCCCAUACCUGGUCGCAAAAUUUGUACCAUUUAAAACUGUUCCGAAAAGAUGAAAUCGUAUAGAGUUGACCUAAACUUUGCAUUAUUUGGAAAAAAAAAAAAAAAUCUAUCUUUUAAAAAUUUUGAUUUUGCAAUCUGACCUUUUGAUUCGCCUUCUUAAAAGUAGAUAUUUCUACGUCGUAACUUAGUUUCUUUAAAUGCAUCUCAAAUUGUUAAUUUGAUCAUUUAAUUUUAACUAGAAAACUACAACUCAUUAGAAAUGAAUAAUUGAAUGUACAAAUGCACGGGGUGCAUACACACAGCUUUUCAAGACUAAUAAAGAGUUAAAUGUUAGACUUAAAUCAUAUGUGUUAGACUUAAGUUAUAUGACCCAUUUCAGUGUGGCCCUAUUUGACCGACCCGCAACUUAUUAGAUGGGGUUAGUAUUGUUACCCGCUCCAUUAAGUUGAUUAUGAAAAAUGGUGGGAAUGAUUAUAAGGUGUUGAAUCCACUACCUCACUAAUUAGUGACAUUCAUAUGAAAUGAUCCUUUUUUCUUUGGUGGUGUGAAAAACUACAUAUCAUUAUAAGAGAAAUAAUCAUUGCAAUUAUAUAAAUGCAUUCCGGUUAUUUGAAAGAGAAUCAUAGGAGUCGAUCACAAUACGGGAUCGAGUGGUGCUUGGAGACGAGAUUAAAGUAUUUAAGACGAUCCUCAAUUGUAAUUUCACUAUGGAACCUGGUAUAAUCCAUAUGUUUUUCAACACUAAAAUCAUAUAAAACUAAAGAUUAAAUAAUAAAAUUAAAAAUUUUAAAGAUAAAGCCGUUGUGUCCAAACCACCGAAAGUUACAGGUUUGUCACAUACAUCUUUACUUUUUGAAAAUAAACUUGUCUGAUUGUAAGGAGGUGAAUAGGCGACUCAGGAUCGGGUCCAAAUUAGCCCAGAUCCGACCCAACAACUCUGAACAUGCCAGGCAUGGGUCUGGGUCUGGGUCUAGGUCUGAGUCUGAGUCUGAGUCAGGUUCAGGUUCGGGUGAGAAAUUGGUUCCUAAAUUGCGACCCGUUCAAAUUUGUUUUGUUUGUAUAUGUUGAAUUUCAUUUAUUUAUCGUUUUUAAUGUCCAACGAAGUAAGCCAUAAAAUUGACUACUGCAAUUCUUUUGCCGUUUAAAGCUUUAGACUCAAUACAUAUACAUAUAUAAUUAAAUUUAAUGUGUGUGUAUAUAUAUAUAUAAUAUCAAAAUUUUAAUAAACGUGUAUGAUAUUUUAUAUUUUGUUAGAUUUAAGUUAGAUUUGUAGUUACCUAAAUUGAAAUCAAAUUCUAAUUAAAUUAGAAUAGAAUGAGAUUUAGAUUUAUUAAAAACAAAUAGAACUUAAUAAAGGGUUCAAUUGAAGUACAAAUUUUAACUAGACUCUGUUUUGCACUCAUGCAUUAUGCAAUGCAUGGUUACGAGGACAUUAAUUAGGCCGAGCUCUAAUUAACCAAGCCAAGGUGUGUGCCGAGGGAAGAUUGGCUAAAGGUCCAUUUGGUUCAACAUAAAAUCGUAAAAAAUAAUUUUUCAUAAAAAAAUUUGAGGGUAAAAAAUUUUUAUGUUUUAUAGUGUUAGUUUGUAGGGAAAAAAAAAUUCCAUCAAUAUUUAUUUAGUUGAAAGAACAAAAAUCCCUAUUUUGUAUGUUUUUUGGUGAAAAAAUAAAUGAAAAAAAAUUGUACACAACUUUGAAUUUUUGUUUUCCGUUAAAAAGACAAUGAAAAAGGAAAUCUUCAAUUUUUUUUUCUAGUAAUAAAUUUUAUUACAGUAAUAAAAAUUUUUGCUCCGAUUUUGUCGGUAAAUAUAGGCCGAUGAUCGGGAUACAUAAAUAUUAGUAUGCUUUUAUUUUUUUUUCUUUAUUUCGCAAUUUUUUUAAAAAUUUUUGCGUGACCAAAAAUACAUGAGUAGCAUGACAAAUCACAAACAACUGUUCGGGUCGGGCCAAAAGAUGGGUCGGGUGUAGUCGCAUAGGUGGACCCAAUUUGAUUUGUUUGGAUUUGGAUAUAUAUACAUCAGGACACACUUUCAUGGAACCGUCAAUCAUAGUUAGUUAAUUCGGAUUCGGCAAAAAUUCGAUACGGGUAUAAUUCGGAUAAAAUUCAUCUUUUAAUUUUUAAAUUCGUUGAAAAAUACGGCUAAAAAACGGAUUUGGUAAUUAUUCGGAUACGUAAUUUAUAUGAAUAUUAUACGUUUACCAAUUAAAAAUUCAGAAUAAAAAAUUUGGCUAUAUAAUAAAUAUAUAAUAACUAAUAUACUAUAUAUAUUAUUUUUAUGCUUUUUUUUAUAUAAAAUAAAUAUAUUCAAAGUUAUAAUAAAUAUAUAUUAAUAAUAUAU
Molecule: long non-coding RNA, 14777 nt
Filed under: Ananas comosus (pineapple)
Lineage: Eukaryota; Viridiplantae; Streptophyta; Magnoliopsida; Poales; Bromeliaceae
Description: long non-coding RNA (ACOM_LNC011651)
Source: RNAcentral